UACGGAGGGAGCUAGCGUUGUUCGGAAUUACUGGGCGUAAAGCGCACGUAGGCGGCUUUGUAAGUUAGAGGUGAAAGCCCGGGGCUCAACCCCGGAAUUGCCUUUAAGACUGCAUCGCUUGAAUCCGGGAGAGGUGAGUGGAAUUCCGAGUGUAGAGGUGAAAUUCGUAGAUAUUCGCAGGAACACCAGUGGCGAAGGCGGCUUACUGGUCCAUUACUGACGCUGAGGUGCGAAAGCGUGGGGAGCAAACAGG
Molecule: ribosomal RNA, 253 nt
Filed under: uncultured bacterium
Lineage: Bacteria
Description: partial 16S ribosomal RNA
Rfam family: Bacterial small subunit ribosomal RNA
Source: RNAcentral